AACGAACGCUGGCGGCAGGCCUAACACAUGCAAGUCGAGCGCCCCGCAAGGGGAGCGGCGGACGGGUGAGUAACGCGUGGGAAUAUGCCCUUUGCUACGGAAUAGUCUCGGGAAACUGGGGGUAAUACCGUAUACGCCCCUUGGGGGAAAGAUUUAUCGGCGAAGGAUUAGCCCGCGUUGGAUUAGGUAGUUGGUGGGGUAAUGGCCUACCAAGCCGACGAUCCAUAGCUGGUUUGAGAGGAUGAUCAGCCACACUGGGACUGAGACACGGCCCAGACUCCUACGGGAGGCAGCAGUGGGGAAUCUUAGACAAUGGGGGCAACCCUGAUCUAGCCAUGCCGCGUGAGUGAUGAAGGCCUUAGGGUUGUAAAGCUCUUUCAGCUGGGAAGAUAAUGACGGUACCAGCAGAAGAAGCCCCGGCUAACUCCGUG
This 431-nucleotide ribosomal RNA is filed under the name uncultured bacterium. RNAcentral's name for it is "partial 16S ribosomal RNA". It matches the Rfam family "Bacterial small subunit ribosomal RNA", at positions 29 to 507 of the family's 1533-position model. The record is from RNAcentral.